GCGGGUCCACGGCCGCCGGAGGGGAGGGGACCGGCUGCCGGGUCUGGGGGAGCCGCGCAGCCGCGGGCCGCGCCCACGGUGCCCACCCGUGAGGGCAGCGGGGGGGCGGAGAGCAAGAUCCCGCGCGGGGCUCGGCCCCGGAGCGCGCCGGGAGCGGUUGGGGUCCCGCAUGGACCGGAGCUCAACCGCGCUCCUGCUGAGGCCUCUGCUGCUCCUGCUGCUGGCGACCCCCGCCCGGGGCUCCCCCGUCUACCACUACUUCGGGGAGCAGGGCCAAGGCGACACGUGGGAGCAGCUGCGGCUGCAGCAGCUGGGGAAAGACGAAGAAGACUCGAUCCUUGGCCCGUGGGGAAAGUGGCGGUGUCUUUGCGACCUGGGCAAGCAGGAGCGCAGCCGCGAGGUGCUGGGCACAGCCCCGGAUCCGGUGUUCAUGGACCGGGAGAACCUGGUGCAGAUGCUGCCCUGCCGGCAACGAGAUUGUUCGUCCUGCAAGCCGAUCGACUGCGACUGGAGGCCCUGAGUCCGGGCCCCAUGGUCUACGCCAUUUGUUAUUGUCCCAAGUCCCGCCUAGCAGAUCUGGAGGCCUUGAAAGUGGCAGACUCAAAGACCCUGUCGGAGAGCGAGCGGGACAGGCUCUUUGCGAAAAUGGAGGAGGAUGG
This is an RNA transcript of Pipistrellus kuhlii (Kuhl's pipistrelle), 659 nucleotides long. It is a transcript of the gene named thrombospondin type 1 domain containing 8, with no coding region annotated. The transcript has 4 exons. The record is from RefSeq and is a predicted model, not a curated record. NCBI's taxonomy places the organism in Eukaryota, Metazoa, Chordata, Mammalia, Chiroptera, Vespertilionidae.